Molecule: ribosomal RNA, 328 nt
Filed under: Ceratobasidium sp. AG-V
Lineage: Eukaryota; Fungi; Basidiomycota; Agaricomycetes; Cantharellales; Ceratobasidiaceae
Description: partial 18S ribosomal RNA
Rfam family: 5.8S ribosomal RNA (bases 245-328)
Source: RNAcentral
UCCGUAGGUGAACCUGCGGAAGGAUCAUUAUUGAAUUUAAUGUAGAGUUGGUUGUUGCUGGCCUAAUUAAUUUUUUUGGGCAUGUGCACACCUUCUCUUUCAUCCACACACACCUGUGCACCUGUGAGACAGCAAGGGGGAUUUUUUUUUUCCUUGAAAAAAUUAAGAACCCUGCUGUCUACUUAAUUCAUACAAACUCAAAUUAUUUUAAAAUGAAUGUAAUUGAUGUAACGCAUCUAAUACUAAGUUUCAACAACGGAUCUCUUGGCUCUCGCAUCGAUGAAGAACGCAGCGAAAUGCGAUAAGUAAUGUGAAUUGCAGAAUUCAG